UGGGGAAUCUUGCACAAUGGGGGCAACCCUGAUGCAGCGACGCCGCGUGAGCGAUGAAGCCCUUCGGGGCGUAAAGCUCUUUCGACCGGAACGAUAAUGACGGUACCGGGAGAAGAAGCUGCGGCUAACUACGUGCCAGCAGCCGCGGUAAUACGUAGGCAGCAAGCGUUGUUCGGAGUUACUGGGCGUAAAGAGUGCGUAGGCGGUUUUCUAAGUUCGGUGUGAAAUCUCCCGGCUUAACUGGGAGGGUGCGCCGAAGACUGGGAAGCUGGAGUGUGGGAAAGGCAGGCGGAAUUCCUGGUGUAGCGGUGAAAUGCGUAGAUAUCAGGAGGAACACCGGCGGUGUAGACGGCUUGCUUGACCAUAACUGACGCUGAGGCACGAAAGCGUGGGUAGCAAACA
Molecule: ribosomal RNA, 402 nt
Filed under: uncultured bacterium
Lineage: Bacteria
Description: bacterial SSU rRNA
Rfam family: Bacterial small subunit ribosomal RNA
Source: RNAcentral